UGGGGGAUAUUGCACAAUGGGCGAAAGCCUGAUGCAGCGACGCCGCGUGGGGGAUGAAGGCUUUCGGGUUGUAAACCUCUUUCGCUAUCGAACAAGGCCCGCCUAGGGUGGGUUGAGGGUAGGUGGAGAAGAAGCGCCGGCUAACUACGUGCCAGCAGCCGCGGUAAUUCGUAGGGCGCGAGCGUUGUCCGGAAUUAUUGGGCGUAAAGGGCUUGUAGGCGGCGUGUUGCGCCUGCUGUGAAAACGCGGGGCUUAACUUCGCGCGUGCAGUGGGUAAGGGCAGGCGUGAGUGUGGUAGGGGUGACUGGAAUUCCAGGUGUAGCGGUGGAAUGCGCAGAUAUCUGGAGGAACACCGAUGGCGAAGGAAGGUCACUGGGGCAUUACUGACGCUGAGGAGCGAAAGCAUGGGUAGCGAACAGG
This 420-nucleotide ribosomal RNA is filed under the name bacterium. RNAcentral describes it as "partial 16S ribosomal RNA". It matches the Rfam family "Bacterial small subunit ribosomal RNA", at positions 355 to 776 of the family's 1533-position model. The record is from RNAcentral.